This 253-nucleotide ribosomal RNA is filed under the name uncultured bacterium. Its description in RNAcentral is "partial 16S ribosomal RNA". It matches the Rfam family "Bacterial small subunit ribosomal RNA", at positions 524 to 776 of the family's 1533-position model. The record is from RNAcentral.
UACGUAGGGGGCUAGCGUUGUCCGGAAUCAUUGGGCGUAAAGAGCUCGUAGGCGGUUUGUCGCGUCUGCUGUGAAAACUCAGGGCUUAACCCUGAGCCUGCAGUGGGUACGGGCAGACUAGAGUGUGGUAGGGGAGAUCGGAAUUCCUGGUGUAGCGGUGGAAUGCGCAGAUAUCAGGAGGAACACCGGUGGCGAAGGCGGAUCUCUGGGCCAUAACUGACGCUGAGGAGCGAAAGCAUGGGGAGCGAACAGG